GGGUCCUUGGCGCAGUCGGUAGCGCGCAAGUCUCAUAAUCUUGAGGUCGCGAGUUCGAGCCUCGCAGGGCCCA
RNAcentral lists this transfer RNA (73 nucleotides) under Mitosporidium daphniae. It matches the Rfam family "tRNA". Rfam says of the family: Transfer RNA (tRNA) molecules are approximately 80 nucleotides in length. Their secondary structure includes four short double-helical elements and three loops (D, anti-codon, and T loops). Further hydrogen bonds mediate the characteristic L-shaped molecular structure. tRNAs have two regions of fundamental functional importance: the anti-codon, which is responsible for specific mRNA codon recognition, and the 3' end, to which the tRNAs corresponding amino acid is attached (by aminoacyl-tRNA synthetases). tRNAs cope with the degeneracy of the genetic code in two manners: having more than one tRNA (with a specific anti-codon) for a particular amino acid; and 'wobble' base-pairing, i.e. permitting non-standard base-pairing at the 3rd anti-codon position. The record is from Rfam by way of RNAcentral. Lineage: Eukaryota; Fungi; Microsporidia.